CAAGGAUUGAACCUUCCUUCUAAGCCAGAGCUAACCACUAGGUCAGAAGACUGAGAAGCCACCACUGAGGACUGGGUCAGACAAUCAACAAAACAGCAAAUCAAGCCUGAGAUCAUGUUUGCUGAUUCCCAAGGUAUAAUGCUCAUGCUGAAAAUUUAACAAUCCUCCAAACAGGAUGGAACUGGCUCCAACUCAUUGCUGCUGCAUGUAAGUAGAUAAUCUUGGGCUGGAGCUUAAUGAGACCUUGGAGGAGAAGCAGGAAAUCAAAAGCAUCUUGAUCAGGCUGCUGUUGCUGCAAGUUCCCUCUUUGAAAACUGCUGCUGUUCCCUGAUGUGACACUGUGAUCAGUAUCAAAUGCUAGAUGGCAAGGAUUUCUGUAGAGAGCUUUCUCGGCUAAAAUAGAUUUAACCUACCCGUUGCUCUUUGUGAGUCGAACAAUGGCAGCGACAAUAAAG
RNAcentral lists this long non-coding RNA (455 nucleotides) under Monodelphis domestica (gray short-tailed opossum). RNAcentral describes it as "lncRNA (ENSMODG00000048540.1)". The record is from RNAcentral. Lineage: Eukaryota; Metazoa; Chordata; Mammalia; Didelphimorphia; Didelphidae.